Molecule: long non-coding RNA, 222 nt
Filed under: Malus domestica (apple)
Lineage: Eukaryota; Viridiplantae; Streptophyta; Magnoliopsida; Rosales; Rosaceae
Description: long non-coding RNA (MDOM_LNC017690)
Source: RNAcentral
GAUUUUUUAUUUUCGUUGACCGUUAUUUAGUGACGCGUGUAAGUUACCAGUAUUUAAAAUAAAAUAAAACAAAGGAAGAAGGAUUGGGCAGAGCUGCCUAAUCAGAAGAGAGAAUGAAGGAGAAAUCAUGUCGAUUGGGGAAAAACGAAACGAAUCAGAGAACAUAAAGGGGAUGGACGAAUUGAGGAAGGAGAGAAGGAGAGGAUGGCCCAAUCAGAAACA